This 468-nucleotide ribosomal RNA is filed under the name uncultured bacterium. RNAcentral describes it as "partial 16S ribosomal RNA". It matches the Rfam family "Bacterial small subunit ribosomal RNA", at positions 28 to 507 of the family's 1533-position model. The record is from RNAcentral.
GACGAACGCUGGCGGCGUGCUUAACACAUGCAAGUCGAACGGAAAGGCCCUGCUUUUGUGGGGUGCUCGAGUGGCGAACGGGUGAGUAACACGUGAGUAACCUUCCCUUGACUUUGGGAUAACUUCAGGAAACUGGGGCUAAUACCGGAUAGGAGCUCCUGCUGCAUGGUGGGGGUUGGAAAGUUCCGGCGGUUGGGGAUGGACUCGCGGUUUAUCAGCUUGUUGGUGGGGUAGUGGCUUACCAAGGCUUUGACGGGUAGCCGGCCUGAGAGGGUGACCGGCCAAAUUGGGACUGGGAUACGGCCCGAACUCCUACGGGGGGCAGCAGUGGGGAAUAUUGCACAAUGGGCGGAAGCCUGAUGCAGCAACGCCGCGUGCGGGAUAACGGCCUUCGGGUUGUAAACCGCUUUCGCCUGUGACGAGGCGUGAGUGACGGUAAUGGGUAAAGAAGCACCGGCUAACUACGUG